This 717-nucleotide ribosomal RNA is filed under the name Herbaspirillum huttiense. Its description in RNAcentral is "bacterial SSU rRNA". It matches the Rfam family "Bacterial small subunit ribosomal RNA", at positions 61 to 771 of the family's 1533-position model. Lineage: Bacteria; Pseudomonadati; Pseudomonadota; Betaproteobacteria; Burkholderiales; Oxalobacteraceae. The record is from RNAcentral.
GUCGAACGGCAGCAUAGGAGCUUGCUCCUGAUGGCGAGUGGCGAACGGGUGAGUAAUAUAUCGGAACGUGCCCUAGAGUGGGGGAUAACUAGUCGAAAGACUAGCUAAUACCGCAUACGAUCUACGGAUGAAAGUGGGGGAUCGCAAGACCUCAUGCUCCUGGAGCGGCCGAUAUCUGAUUAGCUAGUUGGUGGGGUAAAAGCCUACCAAGGCAACGAUCAGUAGCUGGUCUGAGAGGACGACCAGCCACACUGGGACUGAGACACGGCCCAGACUCCUACGGGAGGCAGCAGUGGGGAAUUUUGGACAAUGGGGGCAACCCUGAUCCAGCAAUGCCGCGUGAGUGAAGAAGGCCUUCGGGUUGUAAAGCUCUUUUGUCAGGGAAGAAACGGUAGUAGCGAAUAACUAUUACUAAUGACGGUACCUGAAGAAUAAGCACCGGCUAACUACGUGCCAGCAGCCGCGGUAAUACGUAGGGUGCAAGCGUUAAUCGGAAUUACUGGGCGUAAAGCGUGCGCAGGCGGUUGUGUAAGUCAGAUGUGAAAUCCCCGGGCUCAACCUGGGAAUUGCAUUUGAGACUGCACGGCUAGAGUGUGUCAGAGGGGGGUAGAAUUCCACGUGUAGCAGUGAAAUGCGUAGAUAUGUGGAGGAAUACCGAUGGCGAAGGCAGCCCCCUGGGAUAACACUGACGCUCAUGCACGAAAGCGUGGGGAGCAA